RNAcentral lists this long non-coding RNA (1189 nucleotides) under Homo sapiens (human). Its description in RNAcentral is "HSALNT0102266". Lineage: Eukaryota; Metazoa; Chordata; Mammalia; Primates; Hominidae. The record is from RNAcentral.
CGUCAUCCUGCUGCCUUCUUUAGGAAUAUUGCUUCCUAUCCUAAGCAGGGACUAGAGUAGAGAAGCUUUCUCCAGCAUUCAAACUAGAUUUUCUUUCCAUUCAUAUCGCCACUUUUCAUAACAUGGUAAGAAACACUGUAAAUAAUUGAGGUGAUCCAUCAAGAGACCCAUUCUGGAUAAUGAAAAAUUGCAUAACUCAGUAAAAGUCAAUUAAAAACCACAAACUCCAGAGCCUUUUGCUCAGUGAAGAUUUAUUGUUAUAGAAGGCAACUAAUACAAUAGAUUUGUGGGCUCGAAAUUUUAAAAAGUUCUAAAAAGGCUUAGGUAGGGUUCAGCAGUCAGGCAUGACAGAUGCAUAAUUCUAACCAACAGUGCACAUGUGACAUGCUUCCUACUGAAAUUAAACUGCCAAAUAAAAAGGAAGGAUUGUGCCCUUUUUAAUAACAAAGAAUGCAGUCGUUAGAAUUCUUCAGAUUUGGAAUUCCAGCAGCACUCUAGUGUUUUCUUCUUGAUGUGUGACAAGAAUGAAUAAUAUCAAAAAUAAAAAUAAACCUCAUCUAAACAAGCAGUUCUUUGACUUUAUAACGUUCAACAUCAAAUUCUCAAAAUACUCAAGACCAGUAAAUUAUCAGAGCUGAGGAAAUAACAUGCUGAGGACAGAAUCAAUUUUUAAACAUUUUGAUUGAUUUUAACCUGCUAGCAUUAGUUUUGUUCAUUUCUGUUUAGACAUUGCCACUUCAACUGACUACUAGGGACCAUGGUAUUUCAUAUUCAUAUAAAUAUCUGAAUUUGACCUCAUAAGAAGUCCCUUGGGUCUAUAAUACUUUUAUUCUUGUAUAAUCUGAAACAAAUCCUUUCCUUUUAAAAAUCAAACAGACCACGUUAUACACACAGUUGACUAUUUACAAAGCACCCAAUUAAAUCCUACUUAAUUCUUUCACUCUAAAAAUUCCAUCUAACUUGUGUGUAAAGUACCCAUAACAUUAAAUGCAUAAUGUUCACAAACCCUGAUAGUCCUAUCUAACCUAGAAAAUAUUACCUUCCUUAAGGAGAAAAAAGAGCCUUAAAAGAAAAAUAAGAGUAAGGUUUUAAAGAAAUGAGACCAGAAAUCACAGUACAAGACAGAGAAAUCUACUUUAAUAUUCACAUGUAAAAGUUACACAUCACAAGAGAUUGGACAGUAGCUUAG